ACGACUACAUCAUGUUGAAACCCCAGUUCCUAUACACUCCCGAAGUCAAGCAACAUUGAGCCUGGUCAGUACUAGAUGGGUGACUUUUUGGGAAUACCAGGUGCUGUAAG
Acanthosepion pharaonis is the source of this 110-nucleotide non-coding RNA. The record is from the annotation of a GenBank genome assembly. NCBI's taxonomy places the organism in Eukaryota, Metazoa, Mollusca, Cephalopoda, Sepiida, Sepiidae.